This is a long non-coding RNA of Labeo rohita (rohu), 1633 nucleotides long. RefSeq lists it as uncharacterized. The record is from RefSeq and is a predicted model, not a curated record. NCBI's taxonomy places the organism in Eukaryota, Metazoa, Chordata, Actinopteri, Cypriniformes, Cyprinidae. The transcript has 4 exons.
AUUACCAUUUCAUAACUUUGUACAGACCUUUAAGAGCAUUCUUUCUAUGGAAUUAAGCAAUAACUUAAGUUACUUUGUUAUAUUUCAUUAGACAAUAUCUAAAAGAUGACCAUUCAUAAAUGAAAAAUGUUGUCUUAGAAAUUUACAUGUAAUUUCAUAUUACUUGUUAUUCCAUAUGAUUUAUUUUACAGCAGCAAUGCAAUAUUGUCUAAUAGCAAUGUGUUUUUUUUUUCAGAUGCCCGCUCAUUCUAAGUUGAUUCAAGCUUUAGAAAAAUGUACUUUUCUAUUUUUUUAAAAAAAAAUCUCUAAUAUAAACCAAAAUUUUAAUGCUUUUAGCACUGCAAUGCCACACUUUUAUCUUAAUUUUACUUCAAAUAAAAAUUUUAAUGAUAUUUUAAAGAUAUUAAAAUCUAGAUAUGGUGGCUCACUAAUUAAAAGAGGUAAGAUUAGUUCCUCUAAUAUUAACGAUAUUCAAUAUAAUAAACUACCAUGUUUUAUUCUAGUUUGUAAUUCGGACUCUGAAAUCUCUAGGGGUCUUGGGUUCUAUACUGGGUCUGGAAUUAUCAUGACGGCUAAACAUGUUCUAAAAAAUAUGAAAAUAAUAAUGUAUUUGUCUUUUUCCCUACUACAAGUUAUUGUUUGAUUUACAAUAUAAACCCAAAUAAUAUAUUUUUUGAAAAAGAUGAUAUUGCUAAAAUUAAAUUGGAAGAAAAUUGUGAUCAACUUCCAAAUUUAACACCUAUAGAAGUAAGUAAAUUAUAUGAAAAUGAAGAAUCUUUUUAUUUUUAUAAGUUAAAUAGAGGGUAUUUCGAAAAAGUUAAAUGUGCUAAAAUAGAUUACGACAAAGAAGAACAUCUAAAAAGAAAAAUAAGCUUUAUCAUAAUGAAUUUGCUUUUGAUAAAACAGGAAACCAUGGAGAUAGUGGGACUCCCAUUUUUACAAGUUCUGAUAAAUGUGUUGGAAUCUAUGUUAUGUCGAAUAGAACAAAUUAACGAAAAAAAAGAGAUUACACAUUUAUGUGGAAUAGCGAUACGACUUGAAUUUUUUAAAAAAUUUGACAAAAAUUAAUUUUAAUGGUAAUUUUAUUAAUAGAAUCUCACAAUCUUUCAUCAAAAUUGGUAUAUUAUCCCCAUCCUCACCCCACCCCCCCCCCGCUGACCGUGGCAUGGUGGCUCAGUGGUUAGCACUGUUGCUGCACACAGCAAGAAGGUCCCUGGGCCUUUCUGUGUGGAGUUUGCAUGUUCUCCCAUGUCACUAUGCCCAAAGACAUGUAGGUUAGAUGAAUUGUAGAGUCUGGCCAUCCCACAAACUUGGACUCUAGAAGGCUGUAUAAGGAGAGCAACACUGACGAUGGUGUGGAGAGGGUCCUGCCCAAAACAAAACUUAAGCACCUCCAGACUACAUACGUCACUUUUGGGUCAAAAGAUUGUCUUGGCUAAUGCAAGAUAUGUUUGAGUUUAAACAGGAAAUACUCUGGAGCACGAAACUUUCUGCACCUUUACACCGUCAUUCAGUGUCAUGUUGAUCCAUCUCCAGAUGACAUCACCAAUUUGCCAUUUCUGGGUCAAACCACACCUAGAUCUCCCCUCGUGAAAUUCAAAAUUGUGAGAUUCCAAAUAAAUUAUAAAAAUUA